AUGCCGCGUGAGUGAAGAAGGCCUUCGGGUUGUAAAGCUCUUUUGUCAGGGAAGAAACACCGGCUCUAACACAGUCCGGGAAUGACGGUACCUGAAGAAUAAGCACCGGCUAACUACGUGCCAGCAGCCGCGGUAAUACGUAGGGUGCGAGCGUUAAUCGGAAUUACUGGGCGUAAAGCGUGCGCAGGCGGUUAUACAAGACAGGCGUGAAAUCCCCGGGCUUAACCUGGGAAUGGCGCCUGUGACUGUAUAGCUAGAGUGUGUCAGAGGGGGGUAGAAUUCCACGUGUAGCAGUGAAAUGCGUAGAUAUGUGGAGGAAUACCAAUGGCGAAGGCAGCCCCCUGGGAUAACACUGACGCUCAUGCACGAAAGCGUGGGGAGCAAACAGGAUUAGAUACCCUGGUAGUCCACGCCCUAAACGAUGCUGACUAGUUGUUCGGGAUUUACAUCCUGAGUAACGUAGCUAACGCGUGAAGUCAGCCGCCUGGGGAGUACGGUCGCAAGAUUAAAACUCAAAGGAAUUGACGGGGACCCGCACAAGCGGUGGAUGAUGUGGAUUAAUUCGAUGCAACGCGAAAAACCUUAGCUACCCUUGACAUGUCACUAACGAAGUAGAGAUACAUUAAGUGCUCGUAAG
This 637-nucleotide ribosomal RNA is filed under the name uncultured bacterium. RNAcentral describes it as "bacterial SSU rRNA". It matches the Rfam family "Bacterial small subunit ribosomal RNA", at positions 394 to 1024 of the family's 1533-position model. The record is from RNAcentral.